GGGAAGUGUGCACAUGGAGUGAGCCUCAGCUGUACAGAGGCAGAAUGGCAGGUGAAUCAGCACUGGUUCCCCUUCCUGCUCCUCCUCGAGAUGCUUGGGUGCUCUUCUCUCACAUUAAACACCAGCAGUGGCGUCUUCCUGCAGCGGCUUGUGAAGUUCUGGAUCCUCCACCGACUGCAAAACCACAACCAAUCAUGAACACACAGCGCAGCUCUCUGAAACUCUCUCAUGAUCACAGUGGAUUUGACUGAUUGAUUGUUGUAUUAGUGCUGAUGAUACACUACCUUUACA
Cyprinus carpio (common carp) is the source of this 291-nucleotide long non-coding RNA. RefSeq lists it as uncharacterized. Lineage: Eukaryota; Metazoa; Chordata; Actinopteri; Cypriniformes; Cyprinidae. The record is from RefSeq and is a predicted model, not a curated record. The transcript has 3 exons.